GGCGAUCAGAUACCGCCCUAGUUCUGACCGUAAACGAUGCCAACUCGCGAUCCGCCGGCGGAGCAUUUCGCCCUGGUGGGGAGCGUCCCGGAAACGAAAGUCUUCCGGUUCCGGGGGAAGUAUGGUUGCAAAGCUGAAACUUAAAGGAAUUGACGGAAGGGCACCACCAGGAGUGGAGCCUGCGGCUUAAUUUGACUCAACGCGAGGAACCUCACCCGGCCCGGACACCGUAAGGAUUGACCGAUCGACAGCUCAUUCAUGAUUCGGUGGUUGGUGGUGCAUGGCCGUUCUUAGUUCGUGGAUUUGAUCUGUCUGCUUUAUUGCGAUAACCGAGCGAGACCCACGCCUGCUAACUAGUCCGUGCAUUGCCAUUGUGCACGCCGACUUCUUAGAGGGAUUCGCGGUGUUCAGCCGUUUGAAAGUGGGCAAUAACAGGUCUGUGAUGCCCUUAGAUGUCCGGGGCUGCACGCGGGCUACACUGGCAAAACCAGCGUGCCUGUCCUGCCUCGAAGGAGGUGGGUAAACCCGGCAAAAUUUGCCGUGAUUGGGAUCGGAGAUUGCAAUUAUUUUCCGUGAACGAGGAAUUCCAAGUAAGUGCGAGUCAUCAGCUCGCGUUGAUUACGUCCCUGCCCUUUGUA
RNAcentral lists this ribosomal RNA (638 nucleotides) under Radopholus similis. RNAcentral's name for it is "SSU rRNA". It matches the Rfam family "Eukaryotic small subunit ribosomal RNA", at positions 1003 to 1664 of the family's 1831-position model. The record is from RNAcentral. Lineage: Eukaryota; Metazoa; Nematoda; Chromadorea; Rhabditida; Pratylenchidae.